RNAcentral lists this ribosomal RNA (742 nucleotides) under Microbacterium sp. BR-60. Its description in RNAcentral is "bacterial SSU rRNA". It matches the Rfam family "Bacterial small subunit ribosomal RNA", at positions 56 to 811 of the family's 1533-position model. Lineage: Bacteria; Bacillati; Actinomycetota; Actinomycetes; Micrococcales; Microbacteriaceae. The record is from RNAcentral.
UGCAAGUCGAACGGUGAAGCAGAGCUUGCUCUGUGGAUCAGUGGCGAACGGGUGAGUAACACGUGAGCAAUCUGCCCCUGACUCUGGGAUAAGCGCUGGAAACGGCGUCUAAUACCGGAUACGAGCUGCGAAGGCAUCUUCAGCAGUUGGAAAGAAUUUCGGUCAGGGAUGAGCUCGCGGCCUAUCAGCUUGUUGGUGAGGUAAUGGCUCACCAAGGCGUCGACGGGUAGCCGGCCUGAGAGGGUGACCGGCCACACUGGGACUGAGACACGGCCCAGACUCCUACGGGAGGCAGCAGUGGGGAAUAUUGCACAAUGGGCGCAAGCCUGAUGCAGCAACGCCGCGUGAGGGAUGACGGCCUUCGGGUUGUAAACCUCUUUUAGCAAGGAAGAAGCGAAAGUGACGGUACUUGCAGAAAAAGCGCCGGCUAACUACGUGCCAGCAGCCGCGGUAAUACGUAGGGCGCAAGCGUUAUCCGGAAUUAUUGGGCGUAAAGAGCUCGUAGGCGGUUUGUCGCGUCUGCUGUGAAAACUGGAGGCUCAACCUCCAGCCUGCAGUGGGUACGGGCAGACUAGAGUGCGGUAGGGGAGAUUGGAAUUCCUGGUGUAGCGGUGGAAUGCGCAGAUAUCAGGAGGAACACCGAUGGCGAAGGCAGAUCUCUGGGCCGUAACUGACGCUGAGGAGCGAAAGGGUGGGGAGCAAACAGGCUUAGAUACCCUGGUAGUCCACCCCGUAAACGUUG